Molecule: ribosomal RNA, 468 nt
Filed under: uncultured bacterium
Lineage: Bacteria
Description: partial 16S ribosomal RNA
Rfam family: Bacterial small subunit ribosomal RNA
Source: RNAcentral
GACGAACGCUGGCGGCGUGCUUAACACAUGCAAGUCGAACGGAAAGGCCCUGCUUUUGUGGGGUGCUCGAGUGGCGAACGGGUGAGUAACACGUGAGUAACCUGCCCUUGACUUUGGGAUAACUUCAGGAAACUGGGGCUAAUACCGGAUAGGAGCUCCUGCUGCAUGGUGGGGGUUGGAAAGUUUCGGCGGUUGGGGAUGGACUCGCGGCUUAUCAGCUUGUUGGUGGGGUAGUGGCUUACCAAGGCUUUGACGGGUAGCCGGCCUGAGAGGGUGACCGGCCACAAUGGGACUGAGAUACGGCCCAGACUCCUACGGGAGGAAGCAGUGGGGAAUAUUGCACAAUGGGCGGAAGCCUGAUGCAGCAACGCCGCGUGCGGGAUGACGGCCUUCGGGUUGUAAACCGCUUUCGCCUGUGACGAAGCGUGAGUGACGGUAAUGGGUAAAGAAGCACCGGCUAACUACGUG